CACCUUGAACGUGAAAGUGAGAAUGGCUCAGUGAGUGGGAUCGGCCUAGAACAUCACGGAGCUGAUGAACGUUCCCUUUUUCAGAACCAUGGAGAGCGCAGUGUGCAUUGUGGCGCAGUCCCUUCUACUCCUACUCAGAGCCAUAGAUACAGUAUUUUGUUCAUAGUUCACAUUUUUAUGAACUCCCAAAUCAUGCUCAAAAUUCAAUUUAAUUGAUGUCACUGUUGAGUUUUGUUUUAAUCAGUUUGGUUAACAUGUUCAUCCCAUUGCUCAUUGUGACAUAGCCAACCAUGACCCCGCUGAGAUUGCUCCGCGAGAAGCCGCUUCUGUGUGCAGCUGGCCUUGUGCUUACGAUCGGUUCUGCAGUCUACUUUUAUAGUAAAUACGGAGUCGGUGAGGAUGCACCGGCCACUGUGGAGAGCGUGGACCGUAUUGUCACGGUUGAGGAGGAUAAUGAGCACACCCUGGACCAGGAGGACCCAGUCCUUGUUCAGUAUGUGGAUGAGGAGGUUGGGCACCGGCCCUGUCUGGCUUUAAUCCCUUGGUCUGGACCUCUGUGGGUUCCCAGUCUGUUUCACUGCAGCCAACAUAUUACCUGACCCAUGCUGGUGAGAGAGCUGGCAGUUUUAAACACACAGAUUUGCACAAUUGAGCAGCACAUUUUCAUCUCUCGUCCUGGCACGAUGGUAUGGGAUGAACUGUCCUUUCAGCUUGAAGAGGUAGACAUUCACCUGCAGGUUCAGCAGCAGCCCUGUCUGGCUUUAAUCUCUUGGUGUGGACCUCCGUGGGAUUCAAAUGCUCCUGUCAAACUGCAGCCAAUUUAUAACCUUCCCAUGCUGGGAGGAUGCUGGUGAGAGAGCUGGCAGUGCUAAACACACAGAUUUUCACAGUGGAGCAACCCGUUUAUUAUCUGUUUCACUCCUGCUAGGAGGAUGGUAUGGGAGGAACUGUCCGCUCAAAAUGAACAGUAUGUGGAUGAGGAGUUUGGACAGUGGACCUGUCUGGCUUUAAUCCCUUGGUCUGGACCCUUGUGUGUUCCUAUCUCCCCUGCCUUCUCCAAGGCCAAACCAGUCUACUACCUCACCCUUGCUGGGAGAAUGCUAGUAACAGAACUUGCAGUGUUAAACACACAGACUUCCAAAUUGGUUAUGGAGGAGCCUACCCUUCACCUUACUGAAGCUGGGAGGCUAGUGCUUGACGAACUGUCAGCACCUUCAGAUUGCCAUUCACAGCCAAAUAGUGAAGACUCCUUUUCCUUACGAGAAGUUGCAGCUGGUUGAGAACUGGGCAAAAUUAAGAGGACAUGCAUCACCUGUGCAUUGUGAGGGGAGUGGAGAAACAGCUGUGGUGGAGCAGAGUCAUCCAGGAAAACGUCCUGGACCCAUGGGUGGUCUUCAACAACAAGGAGGUGACUGGUAUUAAGAAGGAUCCAUGGCCUUGUCAAGAGGAGGUCAGAGUUCACCUAUUAUGAGGACGCCCAGGUUUAUUUCAGAGUUUGGUUGAGGGGCUCUCAAUAUGGUGGUUUUCAGUGUUGGGCUUGCAGUGUCACAUGUUGUGUUAAACAGCACGUGGAUAUCUCCACCACGGUGGAGCGGUUCCAGGAGAGGGGGGAUGAGAUGAUGGCAUAUCAACUCUCUACCUCUGACAUCAUCACCACCCCUCAUGAGCCUUCCUUCCCCAAUGAUUCUCUGCCACCCCCUCCGCCUCCCCUUUUCCCUUGUUAUUCCCCUCCCAGUCCGCCUCCACCUUACCACUCCACCCAGGACCGGGACCAGGCCCCUGACAGCACUCCUCAGGAGUUGAGGGGGAGUUUGUGGAGGAGCAAAAUAAUGUUGCAGUGGCGGGGUUACUUUGCAAACCAAGGGAAAACCAACUUCUCUCUGAGGCUAGCCGGUAUCUGACGUGGAGGAUGUGAGGCUGUUUCAGCAGGUGUACGACCUCUUGGGGAGCUUCAUUAAUGAGCCAGCAAACGGAGCGACCUGAGCAGGAGAUGGUUCUUGUAGGAAUCCAUCGUAUCAACUUCGCAGAUGUUUUUUAUGAAUUCGUUCUACUAAUCCUUCUAGAAGGAAAAACAUAUCUUCCUACUUCUAGGCCUGGUAGCUUCCUUUUAUCUGCUCCCCGAAGUCACAAUGAGGAUUCGCCCUCCUGUAGCAGCCUGGAACUUCUACCUCCUCGUUAAGGGGAUGUUUUCAAUGGAACACUUCAUGACUCUGCAUGGUUGCUCGGAUACCAACAGGAAGUAUGGUAAGCAUGUCACAUCACCCAGCCUUUGGAGCUAAAUGGUUCUGAUACCCUGAAGGGUAAAAACUUUUGUACAGU
Non-coding RNA from Salmo salar (Atlantic salmon), 2319 nucleotides. The record is from RefSeq and is a predicted model, not a curated record. Lineage: Eukaryota; Metazoa; Chordata; Actinopteri; Salmoniformes; Salmonidae.